Molecule: transfer RNA, 71 nt
Filed under: Acropora cervicornis
Lineage: Eukaryota; Metazoa; Cnidaria; Anthozoa; Scleractinia; Acroporidae
Description: tRNA-Thr
Source: RNAcentral
GAUUCAUAGUUCAGUUGGUUGAGUUUCGCACUGGUAUCGCGAGGUCACGUGUUCAAACCCCGUUGAAAGUC